This is a non-coding RNA of Pelobates cultripes (western spadefoot toad), 246 nucleotides long. Lineage: Eukaryota; Metazoa; Chordata; Amphibia; Anura; Pelobatidae. The record is from the annotation of a GenBank genome assembly.
GCUUGCUACUGCCCACCCCACCCAGGGAUCGAGCACACCAAAGCCAGCUCCAAGGAGUUCCCUGGCGUGGCAGUUAUUCAGACAAUGUGCUGACAAGACACGAAUGGUUUGCACGCUGUGCAAUCAAAGCCUGAAGUGAGGCAUAAACGUGCUAAACCUGAGCACAACCUGCAUGACCAGGCAUCUACAUGCAAAGCACAAACUGCAGUGGAGUAAGCACCUCAAAAAUCAAGAAAGGUCUCAGGC